This 1463-nucleotide long non-coding RNA is filed under the name Sus scrofa (pig). RNAcentral describes it as "lncRNA (ENSSSCG00005021398.1)". The record is from RNAcentral. Lineage: Eukaryota; Metazoa; Chordata; Mammalia; Artiodactyla; Suidae.
CUAUAACCAACUGGAGCUUGUGCGAGAGCCCUCGUGUAUUCCCCCCCCCCAGCCCCCCCAGCCGGGAGGUGUGAUUCAAUAUUCCUAUCCUGCAGAUUCCACAGAAUCUGGCCCUUCUACAUGACGCAGCCGCAGCCCCGGUGGGUGUUGUUGGGGUGUGGUUCCUGCAGAGAAGGCUGGGGGCCUGAGGACUCAGGCCACAGGUGUCAGGACUGGCCGUUCCGCAGGGCUGCGUCCACAACAAUCCUGCCAAACCGGCUGGGAACCUGUCUUGCUGGGUGCAAGGCCUCUGGGACCUCAGUCCACCCACGUGGGGGCGGGUGGUGUCAGACAAGAGGCCCAAAGAGGCCUUCCCCGUCCUGCCCCCCCACCCCAGACAGAGCCCACUCCCUCUGCCCGGGAGCCAUGCCCUGGGAUGGUCCUUGGCUCUGCAGCAAACCCCGAUGGACUCCGGAGUUUGUUAGUUACCUCUGAACCUGCCCCGGCUUGGUUUGUGGAGCUCCCGUGUCGCUGGCCAGGAGCAGAACACACCAGGACGGCGGGCCAGCCCUGCGGUGGCCUGGGAGGCGCCGGCCCCUGCUUUACCUCGGCCGGACUCCAGCCGAGCGGGAGGCCAGGCGAUACGACCUUGGCCGUGACCUCACCUCCUCCUGCUUCCGUCUGGACGGGCUGCCUGACCCUUCUGGCCUCCAGGCACCAAAACUGGAGCGAGGUGACCCUUAGAGAGCCCUCCAGCCAGUCUGGGCAGACAGGGGUUGAAGGCCAGCCAGCGCUCCCGGCCCCCCGCCCGUCACCUCCAGGCGGGGCCUCCGCCAGGGCCCUGGCCCAGCCACCCGACUUCCAUCGGGGCCAGGACCCCGACCUGCCUGCGUGGCUGGUGCGCACUCCCCCAGGGACAUGGCCCAGAGCAAGCGUCUCUUUCACCAACGAGCCUGUCACAACCUCAGGCAGCUCCUGUCCCCUCCAGGCCUCAGUGGCCCCUCCAGUGGGGGGUGCACCAGGGUCCCGCCCAGCUCGGAUCGGCGACCUGGGGAGGAGACCGGCCUUCCCCGCGCCUCUCGGAGUCCUGGGAACGCCCACGCCCUUUGUCCCAUCAGUCCUGGAAAAGGCCAGGCUGAUAAGGCUGUGGGUGGCCAGAUGACAGCAUUCUUGGGACGCGAAGAAGUGGGCGGGGCCCACGGGCUCAGCUGCGCAGCCAGCGCCGUGGGGCAGCGGCCCUGCAUUUCAGGGAUGCCAGGAGUGCCCGGCCGCAGAAGGAGGCCACAGUCGUAUUUUGCAAGGUUUCGAGGAAAGAAUGCCAGCGUCGUGGGAGGGAGCCGGCUCUGCCCCGCCCACCGCCCCCACCCUGGCCCCUCAAAGCCCACUCCUGAGAGGCACCAUUGUCCCUUCUCCCCGGAGGACGGGACCCGACAGCUUGUCUGGGCCGGGCCGUCCGGGGGUGGGGGGCAAGGCGCCGGGCGACU